RNAcentral lists this ribosomal RNA (488 nucleotides) under Mantidactylus n. sp. FMNH259923. RNAcentral's name for it is "partial 12S ribosomal RNA". It matches the Rfam family "Bacterial small subunit ribosomal RNA", at positions 837 to 1533 of the family's 1533-position model. Lineage: Eukaryota; Metazoa; Chordata; Amphibia; Anura; Mantellidae. The record is from RNAcentral.
GCACUUGUGUUAAUGGUAGCACAACAUGGACCGCCAGGGUAUUACGAGUGCAAACUUAAAAUCCAAAGGAUUUGACGGUGUCCCACCCACCUAGAGGAGCCUGUUCUAUAAUCGAUAAUCCUCGAUAUACCUCACCAUUUCUUGCUAUCCAGUCUGUAUACCUCCGUCGCAAGCUUACCAUUUGAGUGCAAAAAGUAAGUUUAAUGAUUAUUCACCAACACGUCAGGUCAAGGUGCAACCGAUGAAAAGGGAAGCAAUGGGCUACAAUCUCUAUAAUAGAACAUACGAAAUACUACAUGAAAAAUAGUCAUGAAGGCGGAUUUAGUAGUAAAAGAAGACUAGCAUGCUUCUUUUAACAAGGCUCUGGGACGUGUACAAACCGCCCGUCACCCUCUUCAAUAGCAUAUUUUAAUUUAUAAUCAUCAAAAGCACUUUAGAAGAGGCAAGUCGUAACAUGGUAAGUGUACUGGAAAGUGCACUUGGCAAAU